CUACGGGAGGCAGCAGUAAGGAAUAUUGCGCAAUGGAGGCAACUCUGACGCAGCCAUGCCGCGUGCAGGACUGAAGGCCUUAUGGGUCGUAAACUGCUUUUAUUUAGGAAUAAACUCUUGUACGUGUACGAGACUGAAGGUACUAAAUGAAUAAGCACCGGCUAACUCCGUGCCAGCAGCCGCGGUAAUACGGAGGGUGCAAGCGUUAUCCGGAUUUAUUGGGUUUAAAGGGUGCGCAGGCGGACUAUUAAGUCAGAGGUGAAAUCCCGGAGUUCAACUUCGGAACUGCCUUUGAUACUGGUAGUCUUGAAUACGGUUGAAGUAGGCGGAAUGUAGCAUGUAGCGGUGAAAUGCAUAGAGAUGCUACAGAACACCGAUCGCGAAGGCAGCUUACUAAGCCGAUAUUGACGCUCAGGCACGAAAGCGUGGGGAGAGAACAGGAUUAGAUACCCCCGUAGUC
Molecule: ribosomal RNA, 460 nt
Filed under: uncultured bacterium
Lineage: Bacteria
Description: partial 16S ribosomal RNA
Rfam family: Bacterial small subunit ribosomal RNA
Source: RNAcentral